AUUGAACGCUGGCGGCAGGCUUAACACAUGCAAGUCGAACGAUGAUUAUCUAGCUUGCUAGAUAUGAUUAGUGGCGGACGGGUGAGUAACAUUUAGGAAUCUGCCUAGUAGUGGGGGAUAGCUCGGGGAAACUCGAAUUAAUACCGCAUACGACCUACGGGUGAAAGGGGGCGCAAGCUCUUGCUAUUAGAUGAGCCUAAAUCAGAUUAGCUAGUUGGUGGGGUAAAGGCCCACCAAGGCGACGAUCUGUAACUGGUCUGAGAGGAUGAUCAGUCACACCGGAACUGAGACACGGUCCGGACUCCUACGGGAGGCAGCAGUGGGGAAUAUUGGACAAUGGGGGCAACCCUGAUCCAGCCAUGCCGCGUGUGUGAAGAAGGCCUUUUGGUUGUAAAGCACUUUAAGCAGGGAGGAGAGGCUAAUGGUUAAUACCCAUUAGAUUAGACGUUACCUGCAGAAUAAGCACCGGCUAACUCUGUGCCAGCAGCCGCGGUAAUACAGAGGGUGCGAGCGUUAAUCGGAAUUACUGGGCGUAAAGCGAGUGUAGGUGGCUCAUUAAGUCACAUGUGAAAUCCCCGGGCUUAACCUGGGAACUGCAUGUGAUACUGGUGGUGCUAGAAUAUGUGAGAGGGAAGUAGAAUUCCAGGUGUAGCGGUGAAAUGCGUAGAGAUCUGGAGGAAUACCGAUGGCGAAGGCAGCUUCCUGGCAUAAUAUUGACACUGAGAUUCGAAAGCGUGGGUAGCAAACAGGAUUAGAUACCCUGGUAGUCCACGCCGUAAACGAUGUCUACUAGCCGUUGGGGUCCUUGAGACUUUAGUGGCGCAGUUAACGCGAUAAGUAGACCGCCUGGGGAGUACGGCCGCAAGGUUAAAACUCAAAUGAAUUGACGGGGACCCGCACAAGCGGUGGAGCAUGUGGUUUAAUUCGAUGCAACGCGAAGAACCUUACCUGGUCUUGACAUAGUGAGAAUCCUGCAGAGAUGCGGGAGUGCCUUCGGGAAUUCACAUACAGGUGCUGCAUGGCUGUCGUCAGCUCGUGUCGUGAGAUGUUGGGUUAAGUCCCGCAACGAGCGCAACCCUUUUCCUUAUUUGCCAGCGGGUUAAGCCGGGAACUUUAAGGAUACUGCCAGUGACAAACUGGAGGAAGGCGGGGACGACGUCAAGUCAUCAUGGCCCUUACGACCAGGGCUACACACGUGCUACAAUGGUAGGUACAGAGGGUUGCUACACAGCGAUGUGAUGCUAAUCUCAAAAAGCCUAUCGUAGUCCGGAUUGGAGUCUGCAACUCGACUCCAUGAAGUCGGAAUCGCUAGUAAUCGCAGAUCAGAAUGCUGCGGUGAAUACGUUCCCGGGCCU
RNAcentral lists this ribosomal RNA (1355 nucleotides) under uncultured bacterium. RNAcentral describes it as "bacterial SSU rRNA". It matches the Rfam family "Bacterial small subunit ribosomal RNA", at positions 28 to 1381 of the family's 1533-position model. The record is from RNAcentral.